UUUUUACUGGCAUAUAAAAUCUCUAAGAAAAUAAUAUUAAUAUUAAAGGGGAAAAUUUGCCAUACAUCUGAAAUAAUAAGCCACUAAAUAAUACAAUAGAGAGUACACUCAAAUCUGACUAAAUUCAAUAGGUUUGCCAGAGUCACCAAAACAAUUCUCCAGGCAAGCACAAAAUGGGCCAUAACAAAGACUCGCAGCUUCUGAGUUGCUAACACAAAUUCUUAAAGCUUACUACAAACAGCUAUAUAACUCAGCAAAAGUUUUAACAAUCAGAAAUUUUUUCAUAGAAUAGUAAGGUUGCCUCAGCAUCUAGAACAUCUUUCUCAGAAACACUAUGCACGUCGGUAUCUGAGAUGCAAAACCACUGAUCAACAAUAGAUCCCAGUAGUCCUGCAGGAUCGUCUUCGCUUAUUUUUGCUGUUGCUCGUCUGUAAACGGUGUAAUGCCCGCUACCAACUCUUCCAAAGUGCUGCACAACAGAGGCUAGUCGAUACUUAUGAUGUUUGGAAAGUGUUAUUGAGGAAGCUUCACCCUGCAACACAAAAGAUAAAGAGGAACAACUAAGCUAGAUAAACAUGAAACUAAGAUUGCUGGGAGGUUUUUAUGUACAUAUUUGUUAAUCAUGAAGCUGAAAUCUUGAUAGCAAAUAGAAAUGUAUCGAAAGCUCAUUUAAGGGUAGAGAAUUAAAUGCACAAUGAUUGACCUUGUAAUAACUGUACAAACACAAAAUGUUGAAUAAACUGUAGAUGUUAAAAGGCUCCAACGUUAGUCUCCAUCUGUUCCCAUGAGGUUAGUACUAUAAGCAGACAUCAUGGUAUUCUGGUUGAUCCUUACAGUGUGACUAUGUUAGGUUCAACAAGGGUUAGGGAACUAUGGGAGUGGACAAGAGCAAAUGAACACGGAACAGAGCAAUAGAGCGUAACAUGGAAAACAAUGUGCCCCCUACUUCUAAAUUAGUCACCAUCUGUUCCCUAAGAAGUUAAUACUGUAAUUAGACAUAGUACAAUUUGGUUUGUUCCUUAAAAUGUGACUCUUAGGUCCAAACGAAGUAAAGAAAUACCAAGGGUCCAGGAAUAAGUGAUCAAUUACAGUCUAUUGGUUCCAUCUGUUCCCAUGAGGUUAGUACUAUAAGCAGACAUCAUGGUAUUCUGGUUGAUCCUUACAGUGUGACUAUGUU
Molecule: long non-coding RNA, 1177 nt
Filed under: Nicotiana tabacum (common tobacco)
Lineage: Eukaryota; Viridiplantae; Streptophyta; Magnoliopsida; Solanales; Solanaceae
Description: long non-coding RNA (NTAB_LNC018852)
Source: RNAcentral